GCGACGAUGGUGAAAGGGCUAUCAUCUGCGCUUCCCAUCUUCUUAAGACCUGCGCAGGGUCCGAGUUCGAGUCUCGGUCGUCGCA
Coniochaeta pulveracea is the source of this 85-nucleotide non-coding RNA. The record is from the annotation of a GenBank genome assembly. Lineage: Eukaryota; Fungi; Ascomycota; Sordariomycetes; Coniochaetales; Coniochaetaceae.